Molecule: non-coding RNA, 6593 nt
Organism: Meleagris gallopavo (turkey)
Lineage: Eukaryota; Metazoa; Chordata; Aves; Galliformes; Phasianidae
Source: RefSeq, a predicted model, not a curated record
UUUAUAUGUUUCCCUAGGAUAUUCUCUUUAAACAACAGCAUUUCUAGGCUGCAUUUUCCAGAUGUGCUCCACUUAGGUACCUGAAGUUCCACAAUCUGAAAAGUUGAAAUAAAAAGCUGAAGACUGCUCGUAUAGACAUUAUUUUUACCCGUUAGUCACUGUUUUUUCCACAUUAAUCACAGGGUAAAGAUAUCGGGCUUCAAUUCAGAUUAUGACAAUAUCUAAUGUCUUUUCCACAUACAAUUUCAAAUUAGGAGAAGACUUCCUCUCUUGUUUUCACGGGAAUUUUGUGAAUUUCAGUAUGUAUAUUUUUCCAGCUGUAAUACAUUAUUUGCAAUUGAAAAUUGCUAGUUGAAAUAUCAUCUUUCCUAUGGAACAACUGGUAAUAGUAAAUCUUAGAAAUGUAAGCUUAUUUCAAGCACUCAGGUUAGACAGUCUAUGCACAAAAUGGGUCCUGUAAUGACCUGGCAUCAUUCCCUAUAGGUGUCAGCAUCUGGAUGUGGGCUUGGUUACUCAUAGAAAUCUGCUGCUACAAAGCUGAUGGGCAGCAGGUAGUGGGUUACAUCUUUAGUCUAAGGUCAUUUGAGGUAAACCUUUCCUCUGUAAAUCUGUCUUCUGAGAGAAAAGAGUCUUGUUGAAGAAGUCACCUUGUUUGUUUCCUUGGGAGGAAUAGAAUAAAAGCACCUACUGCUUCAUUCACAUGGAUGACUUACUAUCCUCAGGCCCCAAAUUGCAGCUGAGGAUUCAGCGAAUAACAUAAAAUAAUGCACUAUAUGAUACACUGUAUACUAUCUACAUCUACAUGCAUUACCUUUCCUGUUACGGAAGAAGGUAGUUAUAGACCUGCAACAAGUAACCUAACAAAAAUAAGUACUCUAAAUUUGUAUUAGGCAUUUUCCUACUCUGGAGACUCUAAAAGCACUAGAUUUGUGACAUUUGUUGUCUCCUGCACUUCCUUCAUGAGGAUUGCUCAUUCUCCAACUACUCCAGUCCCAUAGCAGUAAUCCAGCUGAACUGUCUGCCCUUGCCCAAAGGCCCUGGCUGGGCUGGCAAAGAAGUGGAAGAUGUUUCCUCCUGUUUACCAGUAUGCUGAAGAUAGAGGACAGGCUUGAUUUAUCCAGGAGGAUUAGUAUGGGGCUUUGGUAGAUUGCUCCGGAGGACUGCGCUUUGCUCUGGGUCACAACUGUCUAUUUGUUUGUAUCCAAAAGAAUGGCUGCUCUCGGACGUGCACUGCCUGCCUCUGAAAGGCAAAAAAACUUUAUGAAGUUGAGGGCCUCAAAGGUAGGGUUUCUUCUCGACACUAAAACAUUCUCAACAAAAGACGCACUGACAAACUCUACUGCCAAAGGUAAGAAAAAUAAUGUCAGAUUUCCUAUUUUAUGGCCAUUUCAGCACACAAACACUUUCCAUCUACGACUUCUCCAGAUGGCAAAUAUUUUUUGCGCAUUCAGCAUAGCAUGUAUGUGCAGCGUGUGUGUGUGUGUGUGUGUGUGUGUGUAUACACAGCAGUUUUUAUUCUUGUUGGCAAUGUUUCUAACUGCUCAAGCUUCGUAUUUGCAAAGCAUACACAGCAUCCUAAUGCUCUCCUGUUUAUUCCUGAAGUUUUGCUGACUACAGGUACAAAAAUAUCACAGAAAACUCCUGAUGGAAUUCUGUUGUAACUUUCUGUAGCUGCUACACACAACAUCAAUUUUGUCACUGAAGAACCAUUUAUGAUGAACACUGCAAUUCUACCAGUUGUUCUUGGCUGCUACUACCCAUCAUUUCAUACAGAUCUGGUUACACACGCACAAAAAAGUCAUCAAUGUAUUGGAAGAAGACUAAGAGAGAGACUGUUUCUGUUUAUGCAGAACUUCUGGAGAUGCAAUACAGGUGAUGCUCCAUUUCAUAAGAGUUUUCCAUGAAUCCAAGUUAGCAGUACAGCUCUGUGCAGCAAAGCCCUUACCGGUGGUUGUGACGUGGAAGUCCAAACAGCACCAGAACUAUCAAAUUUGUCCCUGGAAGAUUAGCAAAAUGUAUCCCCCAUAUUAGCCAGCUCAGGCAACAUGUUGGAGAGUCUGACUGAGAAAUACAUAUAUAAAAUGGUACAUGUUCUACAGAUAUUUCAGAAAUCAUGUCUUUAGGUGAGCUCUUAAGAAGUUCACUGAGUGUGAAACUUAAGGCCCGGAGAAGGUUUUGUUUAAGCAAUAUUUAAUUGUGCUCUCAUAUCUGGACAUAUACGACAUUACUAAUUCUUUUUCCUUCAGAAGCCUUCAAAACAGCAAGACCCAUGAUCCAAUAAACUCACUUGAAAUUUCUGGCAAUAUCAUGGUUAGUGACUCUGCUUCUGAUACCUUCUCUAAUAGCUUCUCACUUAGCUUGCUGUAAAGCCUAUGAACUGGCUUUGGUGAGGUGUGGAAAAAAAAGCUCAUAAUACACUUAACCAACAGCAAAGUUUCAUGGGGGAAAAACCGUUUGUUGUCUUACUUCCUUCCACCCACAGCUUUUUGAGGUGAAAUUGUGAGUUGGAAGUAGAGGAUCCAAUGAAACUCAAGACAGAGGCUUUUAUUCACAGCUUGGUGGUACAAAGAUCAGGCUUGGCCCUCUUGGCCUACAUAGGGAAUGUGGAGUCUGGAAAGCAGCAGGUCUUCAUAGGUGCUGAACAGCAUAAGAUGAGGGAAAGGCUGGGAGCUAUGGCAAGCUCAAAUUUAAAAGAUUACUGUGCCUCCACUUUAUUGGCAUUGUCUGCCCCAGGAAGGUAGUGGAUGAGGACAAACGUUUGCACAUUCAUUCCUCACUGCAAAGUGUUUUGUAUUCGUAUUCUGUGCCUGGAGCUCUCUCAUACUCAAGAUUAAAAUGCUGCUGACUCUCCUUUUCUGAUGUUUUUUUCUGCUUGGCCUCUUAAAAACACUGGUUAAAAGGGCUUUCUUCCAGGUCACAUAGGUUAGUUUCUAUUUUAAGAAAAAUGAUUGCAGGAUGAUCUCAAGUUCCAAGUCUCCAAUAAAGCCCUAUUUGGUUCCCACAGUUAGUCCUGCAGAGCUGAGAGGAUCUCUCAGUCAUGCAUCACAGUAUUGCAUAAGUCACGGAAUCAUCACAGAAUCAUAGAAUGACCUGAAUUGAAAGGAAAGUUAAAGAUCAUCUGUUUCCAAUCCCCUGCAAUGGGCAGAGACACAUCCCACUUGGCUACGUUCAAAAUCCCAUCCAACAUGUCCUUGCACAUUUCCAGGGAUGGGGCAUCCACAGUUUCUCUGGACAGCUUAUUGCCACUCCUCAACACCCUCAGUGUUCAUGGGAGUCAACGACACUAGCAGGCAUUUAAACUUCAUCCAAGCCCUCAUACUGAAUGAGAGAGAUUGCUAACCAAUCAAAAUGUCUUUUGACGUGUACAAGUAUUUAUUUGGCUAAAAACUAUCUUGACAAAGAUUUUCUAUCUUCACAAAUAAUUUAAGCUUUAACUUUUAGUCUUACUAGUACCAUUUUAUUUUAUUCUUUUUAAUUUUUGAGUACUAAUCUUUUUGAAACAAGAAUUUGGUUAUUCCCAGGGUUUACAAGGUCCCUGGCUGGGUAUAAAAUUUUUAGAGUGACAGAGGCAGAAAGGCAUUUGGAUUUCUUUGAUAACAUGUGUUCACUUACAGCGUUUUUUGUGUCUAUUAAUGAAAGGGACAUGUGCCAGUUUAGAUAACUGAGGUAGCUCAAACAGGCUGAGGUUAAUGUAGCCAUACAUUACAUGCAAACAUACAACUCAACUGAAUUGAUAACUAGAUCUUCUAUAGAAAUUCCAUGAUUUUUGAAGUUUAUGAUUCUGCUUAAUUAUAAAACAUAUAUCAAAUAAAUAUUAGAUCACUGUAUUUCUAAGUGCUGCUAAGUAGAUCAGAAAAGAGUGAGAGAGAAAAAGUAAUAAAGCUUCUCUUCACUAAAUUUCAGUAUUUUCUGUGUUCCAUAUGUAACUGAAUACAAUUCCUUCUUCCUCGAUAACUAGAGAAUUACAAAUAGAAUCAAAUUCCUGGAACUCUGGUGUAAUGACAUGUCGGAAGAAGGGAGUUCAGAGACCUGCCUUUGUGUGAAAUGUGAAUUUGAAAUGUUUCAGCGGGUGUGGGAAGAAUACAGAUAUGAAGUUGAUUUUCAGAUCUUUUGCAGACCAACAGUGAUGUAGGUUCAAGAUAUCCUGGGUAUACAGCACUUUAUGAUAACUGCAGUGGUUUGUGCAGACUAAAAGUAAUAUCUAGGAAAACACAGUCCUCUCUACCUGGAAGAAAUGUCUAGGUGUCAAAAAAAGAUAUGGGUGAGUGAAUCCAAAUAUGCAUCUACCUGAUAUAGAGAGUUGUAUGUAACAUACCAGCAAACCUUUGGUUUUAAUUUUCAUGCAGACCUGCUCAGGAACUGAACUCUUGUCACUAUCUAUCUUGAAAGCAUGGCUCUGCUAGGGAAAAUUGUUUGACAAAAUCCAUCUCAGUGAUGUGCAAACACUUUUUUUUCAUAGCUUUUUGCACACUGUUCCUUCUUUGUGUCAAUAUGUCCAAAUUGCUUUUGCAGACUUUCUUGACUUCUUCUGCAUCACAUAGUCUUUGCAAGGGAUCCCAGAGUAAGUUUACUCCUGGUUUGGAAGUAAGAAUUAAAAUGUAGACAUGCAGCCUCCCUUCCAGUUAUGCUGCCUUCCCAAUGGAUUCCACUGUGCUUCAUGCUUCGUUUCUUGUCCUACAUGUCCACAGAGAAUAGGAACAUGAGCAGAUGACAUAUGUUACUUGUUUUGCUGAAGGUCUGCUCUUGCCAGCUGUGAGAUUUAAUGGGGGUUCCCUAGGUGACUUCAGAGGGGCAAGUUGGAUUUCAGAGUGAAAACUGUGAUUAUUAAUGCCUUGCUUUUACCCACAGCGCAUCAUUGUACAACUCACUGUCACUGCAGCAAGAUGAGUCCGGGAGGAAAAGACCAAGUCCCUCAAGCAUUAGCAUGCACUGUGCCACCUCCUAACAUUUUCAGUUAUCUUCUUGAAGUCCGCAUUACUUCUUCAAAUUAGCUGCAACAUAUCUACAAUGAGCGUUAAGCUGCAAUUUUGGCCCUGGCCAUCCUGACCAGAGUGGCUCAAAAAAUGUACACUAAAUAAUGAUGAUGAAGAUGUGACUCAUCCUUGCAGACACCUACAUAAGAGCCCAGGAUAGUCAGACACAGCAGUUUCUUGUCACUUUGCCCCUGAGAGCAGUGUUAGAAGAUGGCACAGGAUCUCUGGUUCUCUGGCUGGAAGCAAACAGGAAGGGCUGGAUCGAUGGAGGUAAUUACAGGGAAUGACAGCAAGUUUGUGAUUUUGUCUGACAAAGGGAUAAAUUUGAUUUCCUUUCUCCUUUAUGCACAUUUGUUGGUUACUAUUUUGGCUUCAGCCCUGCUUUUCUGUUCCUUCCUUUCAUUUGUUCAUUCUACAUUUUCUUCUUUGCUGAUUUGGUAUUCUGUGACUAACCAUCUCUGACUUUGUUUUUAGGCAUUAACAGCUUGGGCCUGAUUUUGAAAGGACAUCUACAAGCCUGAAUAUAUUUGGUAAUGUUUUCAAAAGUGUUAGAUAGUUUGAAAAAUCACCUGAGGCUCUGACAGUCUUCAGUCACCCAAAUCCUAGGGGAAAUUUGGCCUUUUUAUGACAAAUUACAUGCAAAGAUAAAGCACUGUGUUAGUCUUCACUAAAUUAUAAGAUAAAUAACAUGCUUUGGAAAAAAUAGGAACUUCAAUUUUUUCACCAUCGACCUCUAUUCUUGAUUAAAGUGUACAAAGUCAGCCUUCAGGCAAGGCUACCCUCAUUACUCAGUUCAGUGGCAAAGCAGCAGACUAUUUAACAAUAAUCUGCCUUCUCUCAUGCUAAUAUUUAUCUAAUUUAGGGCAGAAAGCAAAGGAGAAAAGGAUUCUGCUUGAUUCCACAUGAAUGUAGAGCUAGGUUGAAAUAGUGCAGGUGUUAUACUGGAAAGGAAUUGAGUUUGCUUGUCUUUUAUGGGAAUUAAAUGAUCAGUAAUAAACUGCACAUUGGGUAAGACAUUCUGAAUGUAUGCAGGUAUCAGGAGAGUGUAUUAUAACCGGAAAUGUGUUCCAACUACAAGUACAGUAACCACAGGUAGAAAUCCAUGUUCCAGUUCAGGACUUCUCCUGGAGGUUUCUGCCUUGCUGUGCAGCAUGCAGCUGUGCUGCAUGCUGAGGCUGGGUAUUGGACUUCGAGGUAGUUGAAAUAGAUUGAGAUAAAUAUAUGCCACUGAAAUUUUACAAAUGUUUAUCCUGACAUGCUAUAAGCCUUAAGUAAGUAGUACUCGCUUACACGAGCGAUGAUUCACGUUGUGCAGAAUCUUAAUUUCUGCUUCACACAGAUGGUUCCUCUUUUGCUAUGCUGCAGAUUUUUAAAUUUCAUUUUACUUUCCUUUUUGAGUGAAUUUGAACUUCUUUGUUUGCUGGAAUAAAAGUCUAGUUUCAAUUCUUAUGAUACCUUGCUCUCCCCACCUUCAGGCUGAAUUUAUGUACCUAGCUAUUACACAUCAUCACAACACCUCCAUAGAACUGCUUGAGUACAACCAUAACCACCUUCAGCCCUACUUAGGCAGCUCUAAUGAUACCUGAGUACAUGUAUUAAUGUUUGUAUAAUUAGAGAUGA